Molecule: ribosomal RNA, 200 nt
Filed under: uncultured bacterium
Lineage: Bacteria
Description: partial 16S ribosomal RNA
Rfam family: Bacterial small subunit ribosomal RNA
Source: RNAcentral
AAUCAACGCUGGCGGCGUGCCUAACACAUGCAAGUCGAACGCGAAAGGGGCUUCGGCCCUGAGUAGAGUGGCGAACGGGUGAGUAACGCGUGGGUGACCUGCCUUCGGGUGGGGGAUAACGUCUCGAAAGGGACGCUAAUACCGCAUGACAUCCUGCCUUUGAGGAGGUGGUGAUUAAAGCUGGGGAUCGCAAGACCUGG